UAACUUGGGAACUUCAACUGACUUCUGAGGAGUUAGAAAUUGAUAUAAUCAAAGAGUUAAUAGCUGCACAAAAUGACAGGACGGAUGUUUCUAAACCUGAAUAUCUUUCAUCUAUUAUGUUGACUGUUGAUGAUGAUAACUUGAGAAUCAGAUCUCACUUGAUGGAUAAACAAGCAGUUGAAAAUGGGUCAGAAAGGGAAAUAGUCAGAGAAGGGCACAGGAUACAAGAAAACAAUCUGGAGCAUUUGAGGGCACCAGAAAAUGUAGUAGAAGUGUUAACAGAUGCAACAGGAUGCCCAUCUGCAUCUUGUUGUGUUUCAGAGGAACCAAAAGAGCAAAUGCAGCAUCCAUCAACCUCAAAGAAUUCUUCCUGAAUUUUACCGUUAGUGUUGAGGAUGACUUGAGAACAAGAUAUCAGUUAUUAGAAGAGCAAAAUAUGAAGUUAAUGGAAGAGAUAGACAAACUGAGAAGAGAAAAUAAUAUAUUAAGAGACCAGCUUUUAUCGAGCCAGCAGCUAGAAGGGCAGAUUGUAGAUUUAAAUAAGGAAGUGAAUGACCUGAGAAGAGAUAAUGAACUUUUAAGCUUCUCCUCAAAUAACCUUGUGUCUCGGCUAGAGAGACUUCUACUUGAUGAAGAUGUAAAUGCCACAGGAGAAAUGUAGACUACCACCAAAAGCUCUGCAUUCGCUUCAUGUUUGCGAGAGCCACAACCUGCUGUGGAGCACUUUGUUUACAAUUGAGCACAGUGACUGAUUUAGAAAGAGUAAAACAUCCUGUAAGGACAAAUUCUAGUGAAUAAAUUUCUGGCAGGUUCCCAUUUCAAUGCUUAAUUUAAAGAAGAGGUAUGGUGCUGCACUGGUGCUCCAUUAUUAUUUCUUUUCUUUUUUUCUUUGUGCUAGAUGCCCAUGAACUUCUUAUCAUCAUAUAAUUCACUAGGUUCUUUUUGGAUAAUCAAAUAUUACUAUUAUUAUAUUUCUUGAGCUUAUAAGCACUAUUAGCAAACUUGCAAAAUCAGCGCUGAAACUAGAAUCCUUUAUCUUCUCUAGAUUUUGUUUGUCUAUUUGUCAACUGCUAUUUACCACUCAUUACCUGAGCUAAUCCACACUUCUUUCCUUUUAGAUGGCUAAGUUGAUCUUCUAAACCAAAAACCAUGGCCCUGCCAUGCAAAUGAGAAAAUCUUCUCAUGGGUUUGUGGGUGAUUACCUGAUUGAGACUAGUCCUGUGUCUCAAGGACUAGGGUUCAGAAGCCUGUAGUCAUGAAAAAGAGGGGCAAAAAGAAAAGGAAAAAAAAUCCCUUGACUCAUUUUCACCUGUCUGCAUCUUUUUGGAUGUGAUUUGUUGGUGGUCUUUGAGUAUAUUCCAGAUAAUAUUACAAUUGGAACAGUUUACCACAUUCAAUCCAGAUCCAGUACACUUACAAGUGCUUGAGGCACGAUAUAUUUUAUUUGAAUGCAGAUCCAGUACACUUGUAGUGCAAAAGAUGCAAUAUUUGGGCAUUCUCUUUUUUUUCUUUUUUUUCUUUUUUCUGGGAUGAAGAGGAGUCCCCAUUAGGUCUCUCUCCGUCCAUCUUAGUCUCAAUCUACUAUAUCCUGAGUGCCAUAAACGUUAACUUGUCAACCUUACUUCACCCUGCAACACAAUGACAAAACAAUAGUAAAAAUCAUCAAUUUUAAAGUAAUGCUCAACUGCUCAGAAGACAGAGCCAUGAGCGCUGAAUACCUGCAGCAUUCAAUGGAGGGGUUGAUCUUGUAUGGAACGCUGACUUCACAUUUGCCUGGAAGCUCAGAGAGGUAGUUCAAUUUGAUUCCAUAAAUGGAGGAUAUCGCCUUCUUCAAGCACACAGGUGGUCUGGCGGUCUUUGGUGUUCUUAACUCCAUUGUUGAGGGUCUUAACUUCUUGGCAGCAUUCUGCUGUGACUGAACCACAGUUCCUCAGGAAAGAACUGCAUUGGUGAAGGUGUUCAUCUGAUAACAUAUUAGGGCUUUUCAGCUGCCAGUGCUGCAACCACCGCCAUGCAGAUAAAUCAUUGCCCCUGCCAACUUAAGCGCUCUAGAACUGGCCAUGAUGAGUGACUGGCUGUUCUGCCCAAAAACUUUUAGCACCGAAAGAGAAAUGCAGGUUUAGACGUUUGGAUGCUGAUGGAAAUGCUGUGAGCUUUUGUUGCUUCUAUAGGAGCAAGUGUGAGGGUAUGCAAUUGCUUAGCUUAAUGCUCUGAUACUUCUUUGCCGUGCCCAGAUCUGUGUUUUUCUUUCUCUGGCUGGUUUUCGUUUGUGAGAAAAAUUGACGUCCAACUCCUUGAUCAGUACUAAGGAAUUGUUGAAGUUCAAAAAUAUCAGACAAGUAACCCAAAAUAAACACCUCGCAUGGUUUGGAUAAAGAAGCGGUUCUCUAAGAUGAGGAAUGAUUAUGAUCUGAAACUGAGAUGAAUGGGAAAGAGCCAAACAGUUGAUCCUGCUUGAAGAAAAUGAAUCACGUGUGUUAAUUCCAAUGAUAACAGGGCUUGCUCAACCAUAAACUCAAGAUCGCUGAGUGUUUUAGAUUGGGUUUAGACCCCAUUGCGCUGUAUUGGUUCUAAGUCCAAUUCAGCCUGAUAGACCUUAUAUGAUUAAAUAUUCAUUUCUAGAGUAUUCAUUUAUUCAGCAAUGUGGCUGUGAGAGAAAAGAAAGGCAAAUAAAUCGGUUAGCUCCUUGUGGAAGUCCUGCUUUCGAAAUUAAUAAGAGUAUUGUAGGAUUUCCUUGACA
RNA transcript from Vitis riparia (riverbank grape), 2740 nucleotides. It is a transcript of the gene named protein MAIN-LIKE 1-like, with no coding region annotated. The transcript is spliced from 5 exons. NCBI's taxonomy places the organism in Eukaryota, Viridiplantae, Streptophyta, Magnoliopsida, Vitales, Vitaceae. The record is from RefSeq and is a predicted model, not a curated record.